This 2296-nucleotide ribosomal RNA is filed under the name seawater metagenome. Its description in RNAcentral is "bacterial LSU rRNA". It matches the Rfam family "Bacterial large subunit ribosomal RNA", at positions 14 to 2384 of the family's 2925-position model. The record is from RNAcentral.
AGCGUAUAUGGUGGAUGCCUUGGCAGUCAGAGGCGAUGAAGGACGUAGUAACUUGCGAAAAGCGUUGGCGAGCUAGUAACAAGCAUUUGAGCUAACGAUGUCCGAAUGGGGAAACCCACUAGCAUAAGCUAGUAUCAUUAACUGAAUACAUAGGUUAAUGAGGCGAACCCGGGGAACUGAAACAUCUAAGUACCCGGAGGAAAAGAAAUCAACCGAGAUUCCCCUAGUAGCGGCGAGCGAACGGGGAUUAGCCCUUAAGCAUAGAGGGUGUUAGUGGAAUGCGUUGGAAAGCGCAGCGGCACAGGGUGAUAGCCCCGUACAUGAAAACUAACUUUAUGUGAAAACGAGUAGGACGGGACACGUGACAUCUUGUCUGAAUAUGGGGGGACCAUCCUCCAAGGCUAAAUACUCGUAAUCGACCGAUAGUGAACUAGUACCGUGAGGGAAAGGUGAAAAGAACCCCGGGAGGGGAGUGAAAUAGAACAUGAAAUCGUAAGUUUACAAGCAGUAGAAGAGCGACUUAACGCUCGACUUCGUGCCUGUUGAAGAAUGAGCUGGCGACUUGUAGGUUGUGGCAAGAUUAAGAUAAGAAAAUAUCGAAGUCAUAGUGAAAGCGAGCCUGAAUAGGGCUUUAAGUCACAAUUUACAGACCCGAACCCGGAUGAUCUAACCAUGGCCAGUGUGAAGCUUAGGUAACACUAAGUGGAGGUACCAACCGACUGUUGUUGAAAAAACAGCGGAUGAGUUGUGGUUAGGGGUGAAAUUCCAAUCGAAUCCGGAGCUAGCUGGAUCUCCCCGAAAUGCGUUGAGGCGCAGCGGUUAAUGGUUCGUCUUAGGGGUAAAGCUACUGUUUUGGUGCGGGCUGCGAGAGUGGUACCAAAUCAAGGCAAACUCUGAAUACUAAGACAUUUAGUUAACCAGUGAGACGUUGGGGGAUAAGCUUCAAUGUCAAGAGGGAAACAGCCCAGAUUACUAGUUAAGGCCCCUAAAUAAUUGCUAAGUGGUAAAGGAGGUGGGAUUGCAUAGACAAUCAGGAGGUUUGCCCAGAAGCAGCAAUCCUUUAAAGAGUGCGUAAUAGCUCACUGUUCGAGUGAUCCUGCGCCGAAAAUGACUGGGACUAAGCAAUUUGCCGAAACUGUAAGAUGUUUAAACAUCGGUAGGGGAGCGUUCUACAUUAGAGUGAAGCGUUAAUGAAAAUGGGCGUGGACGAAGUAGAAGUGAGAAUGUCAGCUUGAGUAGCGAAAACAUUGGUGAGAAUCCAAUGCCCCGAAAACCUAAGGGUUCCUCCGGAAGGCUCGUCCGCGGAGGGUGAGUCAGGUCCUAAGGUAAGGCUGAAAAGCGUAGUCGAUGGAUAACAGGUUAAUAUUCCUGUACUGUUUAUUGUUGGUAAAGGGGGACGGAGAAGGCUAGGUCGACCGAAUGUUGGUUAUCGGCUUAAGUAUUCGAGGUGUUGAGAAGCGGUGAAAACGUUUUGAGCUGAGAUAUGAAUAGGAGGUGCUAAGGCACUGAACCGACUGAUGUCAUACUUCCAAGAAAAGCCCUAACUACCAUAAGCAAUAAAUACCUGUACCCUAAACCGACACAGGUGGGUAAGUAGAGUAUACUAAGGGGCGCGAGAUAACUCUCUCUAAGGAACUCGGCAAAAUAGCCUCGUAACUUCGGGAGAAGAGGUACCCUUUAUGGGUUGCAAGAACCAGACGCUGGCGACUGUUUACCAAAAACACAGGUCUCCGCAAAGUCGCAAGACGAAGUAUGGGGGCUGACACCUGCCCAGUGCCAGAAGGUUAAAGAAGUUGGUCAAUCUUUGAUGAAGCUAACAACUGAAGCCCUGGUGAACGGCGGCAGUAACUAUAACUGUCCUAAGGUAGCGAAAUUCCUUGUCGGGUAAGUUCCGACCCGCACGAAAGGUGUAACGAUCUGCGUACUGUCUCGGAGAGAGACUCGGCGAAAUAGACUUGUCUGUGAAGAUGCGGACUACCUGCACCUGGACAAAAAGACCCUAUGAAGCUUUACUGUAGCUUGAUAUUGGCUCCGGGCUUUGUUUGCGCAGGAUAGGUGGGAGGCGUUGAAAGUUUUCUUGCGGGAAGAUUUGAGCCGUUGGUGAGAUACCACUCUAACAAUGCUAGGAUUCUAACCCUAUGUCGUUAUCCGGCUAGGGGACAGUUUCAGGUGGUCAGUUUGACUGGGGCGGUCGCCUCCUAAAAGGUAACGGAGGCGCGCAAAGGUUUCCUCAGGCUGGUUGGAAACUGUCUCUUAUACACAUCUCCGAGCCCACGAGACCUCUCUACAUCUCGUA